RNAcentral lists this ribosomal RNA (497 nucleotides) under uncultured bacterium. RNAcentral's name for it is "partial 16S ribosomal RNA". It matches the Rfam family "Bacterial small subunit ribosomal RNA", at positions 28 to 507 of the family's 1533-position model. The record is from RNAcentral.
GAUGAACGCUGGCGGCGUGCCUAAUACAUGCAAGUCGAGCGAACAGAUGAGGAGCUUGCUCCUCUGACGUUAGCGGCGGACGGGUGAGUAACACGUGGAUAACCUACCUAUAAGACUGGGAUAACUUCGGGAAACCGGAGCUAAUACCGGGUAAUAUAUUGAACCGCAUGGUUCAAUAGUGAAAGACGGUUUUGCUGUCACUUAUAGAUGGAUCCGCGCCGCAUUAGCUAGUUGGUAAGGUAACGGCUUACCAAGGCAACGAUGCGUAGCCGACCUGAGAGGGUGAUCGGCCACACUGGAACUGAGACACGGUCCAGACUCCUACGGGAGGCAGCAGUAGGGAAUCUUCCGCAAUGGGCGAAAGCCUGACGGAGCAACGCCGCGUGAGUGAUGAAGGUCUUCGGAUCGUAAAACUCUGUUAUUAGGGAAGAACAAAUGUGUAAGUAACUAUGCACGUCUUGACGGUACCUAAUCAGAAAGCCACGGCUAACUACAUG